UUCAGGGCUGACCCCCGGGUCUUCCGCGGUUUCUCUACCCACGUUUUCUUGUUGUCCCUGUUGUGGUUCUGGGAACUGGAGGGAGAGACUCACACGUACCAGGGAAGGGCUCUACCGACAACCCUAAUGACUGCAAUCGAUUCCAACAAAGCCCUCCACUGCGGGACGCUGGAUUCGGCAUCGCUUUAGAGAGAGCAAGGGAUGGGCGCAAACAGCCGUGCCGCUUUCCCGUCUCCUGCGAGGCACGGCGAGCACCUGGGUGGUGACCCGAAUGGAAACCAGCUCUUCUCGUGUAUUCGGACGGAGACAGUCGCUAUGUGACUCGGGCUGGCCUCGAACUCCUCAUCCUCCUGCCUCAGUCUCUCAAAUGCUGGGACCACAGGUAUGAAUCAGCACACCCAGCGGAGACCACAACUCCAUAAAGGUGAGAGCGAGUUCAGCCUCACUGACACUGAGGUAAGCCGUCAGUUCUCACCUCUGUGGAGCGCAUUGGAGCUCUUGGCUUGGGAUGUGUGCCGAGUGACAGCCACUGACAGCCACUGUCCCGUGUGACUGCUGGGCCCUUGAAACAGUAGUGCAUCUGGGAACUGUUGCUGGGAGACAGGCCCUUUCUCUGCACCACAUGCACACGUGGCUCCUGAGCUAUUUUUAAAAUAUGUUUGUGAAAAUAUAUUCCAGAGAGGGUUUCUCUGUGCAGUCCUAGAACUUGCUCUCUAGACUAGGCUGGCCUUGAACUCAGAGAUCAGCCUGCCUCUGCCCCCCAAUUUUGGGGACUAAAGUUGUGUGUGCCACCUCCCAGCUUGCUUACUUUUAUUUUAUGUGUAUGAGCGUACCAUGUGCGUGCAGAGGCCUGGAGAGGGCAUCAGAUUCCUUGGGACUGGAGUUAGAGGCGGUUUCGAACCACCGUGUGGGUGCCGGGAACAGAACCCAGGUUCUCUGCAAGAGUAGCAAAUGCUCUUAGUCGCUCCAGCCUCAGCUGUGGGAUUUCUUUUUUGAAGAAGUUUUAAGUAAUUAUGAAAAUGUUUAAAAUCAUUUUAAAAAACGAUAAUUGUUUUAAUUAAUCACAUUGAGGUGGCUAGCGUGACUCCAGGUUACUGUGCUGGCUCAGCCAUGCCUGGGGUUUGGUGUUCUGCUUCAGAAAGGGGCUGGAAUGCUGGGGUUUUCUUUCACGGGUAGAGGAGACGGGAGUCCCUCUCUUCUGCCUUUAGGUUUGAGGAAUACUAGAAUAUGACACCGAGGCACAGAUUUCCUUUGAGCCAAAGACCUUGCAGGACACACACACACACACACACACACACACACAUACAACUUGCACAUGGUUGGCACGCUGAUCUCUCUCUCCCUCUGAGAACAGGAAAGGAAGCUGGCUCCCUGUGAAAGAUUCUCUCCUCACAAUGCAAGGAAAGAAGAAUGUCCUGAUCAGAGACAGGAUAUUCAGCUGAGAGGAAUCUGUGCAUCUAAACCUUGACAAAAUACCUCCCAGCUUCCUCCAGUCCCACUCUGGCUAGGUGUCUACUGCUGUGGUGAAAUACCAUGACCAAAAGCAGCUUGGGGAGGAAAGGGUUAAUUUAUUUUGGUUUUUCUUUCUUUCUUGUGUGUGAGACAGAGUUUCUCUGUGUAGCCUUGGCCAUCUUUGUAGUCAGUCUGUAGACCAGGCUGGCCUAGAACUCAGAUAUCUGCUUGCCUCUGCCUCCCAAGUGCUGGGAUUAAAGGUGUGUGCCACCACCACCAGGCUUGCUUUUUAUUUUUUUAAUAGUUUCUCUGUGACACCUUGGCUGUCCCAGACUCACUUUGUAAACCAGGCUGGCCUCAAACUCAGAGAGAUUAGCCUGCCUCUACUCCCGGUGUUGGAUUUUUGUUUUGUUUUUGAGACAGGGUUUCUCUAUGUAUCCCUGCCUGUCCUGGAAUUUACUCUGUAGACCAGUCCAGCCUGGAACCCAGAGAUCCUCCUGCCUCUGCCUCCCCACUGCUACACAGAAAAACCCUGUCUCGAAAAACCAAACCAAACCAAAAAACCUCUCCGUCUCUUUAAGGUAUCUGUGCGUCUCUCCGAGUGUAUUCAUAUGUAGGCACUGCCAGGAUGAUGACAGUGCCAGGAGCUGGGACCGUGGGGGUUAACUGUCUGCCAGGCUGGGACCAAACCGAGGUCUUCCGCAGGAACAGUCUGCUCUUAACUGCUGAGUCAUCUCUCCAGCACCCUUCCCUCUGUAAUGGGGUCACACACACACACCCCACGGUGUAAGUGUGGAGGUCAGAGGCACCGGUGGGAGUCAGGUCUUUCCUUCUACCAUGUGGGUUCCACAUCAGGCUUGGUUGCAGGUGCUUUUGAUGUUACCUGGGGGUGCAGGAAUGGGUUCGUUUUCUCUGGUUAAAGAAAGGCAGGAAAGAAAUGUCAUUACAAAUCUUGGGGCACCCAGCAGAGUCCGUCAUAGGAUGUCAGGGAACUUGGGGGCCCCUGUUGGGAUCCUUAUGCUCUGUAGUCGUAAGAGACUCUUAAGCAGAGACACAAGCUCAGGGAGUUUAAAAGGAAAGUGUCAGGGCAGGCGACUGCAGCUGCGGGGUUGCAGUGGCCGGGAGGAGGCGACCAGCUGGCCCGACAGCUACGCGACAGGGCUGGACGGGGAGCUCCGAGGAGGCCUAGAACACCAGCGAAGGCCCGAUCCGGAUCCCGGCCGCUGGGUUAAUCUGUGAGGGAGGAGACAGGGCGGGGCUCCACCUAACCCCUACUCCUUAGUCAACACACGGUCACCUCUUUUGGUGGCCUCUGCUGUGUGGGGUGCUUUGUGUGCAAAAAAGCACGCCUUUCUCCUACUAACCUUUCAUGGAUACGUUUGUGGACGCGAGUACUGUGCCUGCGUGUGUGUGUGUGCGCUGUGUGCCCGGUUCUUUGGAACGGAGUCGGUCCUGCUUGAGCCACCCCAGGUCCUGGGGAACCAGCCCCCUCCCCUGAGCGGCCUUGGCCGCAGCCUCCGACCAGGCGGACCUCGAACUCUGACCCGACCCGCCCCCACUCCUGGCCGCCGACUUAGUCCUCAGGCUGAGAAGGGGGUUCUGUCGUUUACUCUGUGACCGCUCUGGCUGGCCUGGUAGACCAGGUUGUACAGGAAUUCACAGAUAUCCACCUGCCUCAGGCCCCAAGGAGUACUUGGAUUAAAGGUGUGCGCUGGGGAGAAAAUGACAGACCGAGGCCGGGGUUCGAGGACAGCCCCAGCACAGCCAGCCGAGGAGAAGGUUAGAAGAGAUUCAUCUAUCGUUAGACCAGCAUUAGUGUAGCCUUACCGGAGCAAGGCCUCAAAAAAUUGGUUUCAGACUCAGAGUUGUUCCUCUCCACGGAAAUCUUUAGUAAAAGGCGAAAGAUUUAUACGAUCUGAAGAGAAACCAGAGUAUGCCAGCGACUAGCUGAGGACAGCGCUAGGGUAACAGAGCCUCCUAGUCUACCGACGGUGACUGUGGGUUCGCCGUGCCGGUACCUACGGCAACUGCUUCCCGAUCUCCUUAAGCGAAGAUUUCGUUUUUAGCUUCAAAAUUCGAGCACUAGACGAGUAUCUUUUCACGAAAACGAGCCGCGCUGGCCGCGAUGUGUUAUGGGUAUGUAAAUGAGCCGGGUGGCCGCCCUGGAGACUGGCGCGGUUCCCCCGGGCGACUGCAGGGGGCGGGGCGGAGGGUUCCGCCCCUUGCUGGCCGCGGGCGUGUUCUUUCGCGCCCUGGACGUUAGAUGAACGGGUUUUCAGCUGGCCGUAAAGGACGAAGAAAUGACCAACAAGUUCCCUGUACUGAGGGGUGGGGUCGGGACUGCGGCACAGAGUUUCAAAGGUGUCGGCAAGGUGCUUCUCGGCUCCGGUCGGGAACCGUGCUUCCGUGGCGAAUAACCUAGACAAAGCGCUGCGUUUUCAAUGCAGCGUCCUGCCGCUGUACACAAGGGGAGCAGAUGAGGUUAACGCUGCUAAAUGUACGGCAAAGGGAGGUACUUUUUCCACUGUUGAUACAUGCAUCGUGUGUGUGCGUGUGUGUGCGUGUGUGUGUGUGUGUGUGUGUGUACUUUUUUUUUAUUUGUAGAGAAAGACCAAAAAGUCCAGCACUCUGCACCAAUAGCCACAGCAGCGUUUCCAGGUUCUGCAGUCAUAUGAACAGAAUUGUAGAGAAAUCCAGCACACUCCAUUAAAAUACAAAAGUCAAAAAUAAAGUCCUGGAAAUUUUUUUUUCUUCCUUUCUGUCUCUGUCUCUCUCUGUGGGGUCAGAUGCCUUGGAGCUGGUCAGCAAUUGUGAGCUGACCCACAUGAGUGCCGAGAACCAAACUCUGGUCUUCAAGAAGAGCAGCAAGCUCUUUUUAUGUUUCUGUUUUUUUGUUUUGUUUUGUUUUUCGAGACGAGCUUUCUCUGUGUCACAGCCCUGACUGUCCUGGAACUCGAUCUACAGACCAGGCUGACCUCUCCCUCCUGAGUGCUGGGAUUAAGGGCAUGCUCUGCUCUGCCUGUCUACAGCAAGCACUCUUAACACUGUUCCAUCUCUCCAGCCCACAGUGUGUGUGUGUGUGUGUGUGUGUGUGUGUGUGUGUGUGUGUGUGUGUUUCGAGCAAUAUAUACACUUCUACUAUAAAAUAUCUUCUAAUGUAGUUUUAUAAUUUUACCAUAAGGCCCAUUGUCUUGUGGGCUAAAUGGUUGGCUCAGUGGUUAAGGGCACUUGCUCUUGCAGAGGACCUGGGUUUGGUUACAUACACACACAUAGACAAAUUGAUUGGAAUGACUUUCAGGCUACAGUCCAGCUAGUCCAACAUAGCCAGCUGUGUGUGAAUGGCAAGUUCAAGACUGCAGUACUUGCUCAGCCCCACGAGGCUGAGUGUUUCAGCUGGUCUUCUGUAUGAGCUGGAACCCUGAAGAAGUAGGCUCCAAGGGAUGUGCUGGCAGAGUGCAAGUGGGCAAACCUUCCUCCUUUCAUUGUCUUUAGACAGGCUCCAGCAGAAGGCGUGGCCCAGAUGAAAGGGGUGCCUCCAGAUCUGCACUAAAGGAACAGAGCUGAUCCGCCUCCCAGCAGCUGGUCCCAGAUGUCAUUCCAUGCUGCUCAAGGCCUUCCGAGCCCUGCACUCCGCUUCUGCUCCUCCUGAGCCGGCGGGCUGAUGGCCAACAGUUCCCAAGGGAAUUUAAAACAAUAAAACAAAUAUAUAUUCAUAUUGUUUUUAACUUAAUUAAUUUUUUUUUGACACAGGGUCUCUUAAUGUAUCUCUGACUGAUGAUCCUGGAACCCUAUGUAGAUCAGGCUGGCCUCCAAGUGCUGGAAUCAAUGGCAUGCGCUCCCAUCUGGCUAAAAAUAAUUGCUUGGUGUGUUGGCUUACACAUGUAUCCUGAAGAAGUUUGUUCUGUGGUCUGGAGAUGCGGCUCAGUUGCUCCAGUGUUUGGCUAACAUACACAAAGCCCCAGUUCAAUUCCCAGCAUUUUAUAAAACUGGACUUAGCGGCAGAUGCUAAUAAUCCUGGUGCUUGGAAAGUACAGGAGGUAGAAAGUCACAAGGGCAAAGCCAUUCUCAGCUACAUAGGGAGUUGGAGACCAGUCUGGGAUACAUGAGAUCCUGUCCCCCCAAAAAAGUGAGCGGAGGCUGGGAAAUGGCCCCGUGGAAAAGGACACGUGUCACGAAACCUGAUGACUGAGUUCAGUUUCCAGCAGCCACAUGACGGAAGGAGAGAACUGACUCUCAUGAGUUCCCUGACCUCCCCCGUGCGUGCACACACACAUACACAUAAAUAAAUAAGUGUGGUUUUAAAA
Molecule: long non-coding RNA, 5756 nt
Organism: Meriones unguiculatus (Mongolian gerbil)
Lineage: Eukaryota; Metazoa; Chordata; Mammalia; Rodentia; Muridae
Exons: 3
Source: RefSeq, a predicted model, not a curated record